RNAcentral lists this transfer RNA (65 nucleotides) under Calanus sinicus. RNAcentral describes it as "tRNA-Val". The record is from RNAcentral. Lineage: Eukaryota; Metazoa; Arthropoda; Copepoda; Calanoida; Calanidae.
UUUAACUUAGUAUAAAUAAAAUUACAUCUUAUUUACAAUGAGAAAAUGUUCUUCAAUAGUUAAAA